Molecule: long non-coding RNA, 603 nt
Organism: Bradysia coprophila
Lineage: Eukaryota; Metazoa; Arthropoda; Insecta; Diptera; Sciaridae
Source: RefSeq, a predicted model, not a curated record
UCUCGUUAUCAAUAUAUUUAGGUCAUUUCACAGUAUACGGUAAUUAAUUAACGCAAUUGACAUUGGGGUCUCGUAUUUUAAUUUGUUUAGCUACAACCGCUUGUGUGUUUCUUAAAGAGCUCAGUUCAUCUCGGUUUUAUAUUCUUUAAAAAAAAUGAAUCAUAUUAUGAUGUACGCCUUGUUGGCCACAGUGGCGGUGUUAGAUUUCGUUGCACCUACGCCAGUCACACUGUGUGUAUACAGGACAUGUUCCAAUACCGGAAUGGCUUGCCCUACUGGAGCCAUACUCCAAAUUCGAAAUGGUUAUCGUGGAGAGGUGUACGCCGAGCGCUGGAGGGAUUUGUUUCAAGAAAAAUGUUCCAAUGAUUGGGUUUUCUGUGUUCGACUAGUACCGAAUUCUGGAGAUUUGUACUUCAGAUAUGCAAAUCGAGAAAGGAGAAUUCCUGAAAGUUCCCGACACUCAGCCGUCAGUGAUUGGUGUAGAGACAUGUCUGGAGUGGAGUACUGGUUCGAUGUUUGAAGAUCUGUUUAGAGUACCAUCAAUGCUUGAAGUGCGUUGAUUAAAUAUGAGAUGCUUAUUAAAGCGCACUUUACGAAGUGAAA